CAAUAGCGUAUAUUAAAGUUGUUGCAGUUAAAAAGCUCGUAGUUGGAUUUCUGACAGGGGCUGGCCGGUCCCCGCGCUCGUCGCGGGUGUUACUUGUGUCGGCCCUGGUCAUCCUCGGCCUCCUUUGGAGGUCGUCUUUUACUGUGAAAAAAUUAGAGUGUUUAAAGCAGGGGUUUGCCCCAGGAUACAUUAGCAUGGAAUAAUAAGAUAGGACUUUGGUGCUAUUUUGUUGGUUUGCACACCAAGGUAAUGAUUAAUAGGGACAGUUGGGGGUAUUCGUAUUCAAUUGUCAGAGGUGAAAUUCUUGGAUUUCUGGAAGACGAACUACUGCGAAAGCAUUUACCAAGGAUGUUUUCAUUAA
This 361-nucleotide ribosomal RNA is filed under the name uncultured eukaryote. RNAcentral describes it as "partial 18S ribosomal RNA". It matches the Rfam family "Eukaryotic small subunit ribosomal RNA", at positions 592 to 976 of the family's 1831-position model. The record is from RNAcentral.